RNAcentral lists this ribosomal RNA (399 nucleotides) under uncultured bacterium. RNAcentral describes it as "bacterial SSU rRNA". It matches the Rfam family "Bacterial small subunit ribosomal RNA", at positions 54 to 451 of the family's 1533-position model. The record is from RNAcentral.
CAUGCAAGUCGAGCGGGGUACAGGGCUUCGGCUCUGUACCUAGCGGCAAACGGCUGAGUAACACGUAAGUAACCUGCCCUCCAGUGGGGGAUAACCCCUCGAAAGAGGAGCUAAUACCGCAUGCGUUCCCGGAGGGAAGUUCUCCGGGAUGAAAGCCUUCGGGCGCUGGAGGAGGGGCUUGCGGCCUAUCAGGUAGUUGGUGGGGUAACGGCCUACCAAGCCGAUGACGGGUAGCUGGUCUGAGAGGAUGAUCAGCCAGACGGGGACUGAGACACGGCCCCGACUCCUACGGGAGGCAGCAGCGAGGAAUCUUGCGCAAUGGGCGAAAGCCUGACGCAGCAACGCCGCGUGGGGGAAGAAGGCUUUCGAGUCGUAAACCCCUUUUGCAGGGGAAGAAGA